UUGGGUGUUGGAAAAACCUCGCCGAUUCCAGCAAUAACAGGUGAUAUGGGAUGGACUUCUAUACUUGUAAACAAUCAAUGUAAUAUAGUUCGUUUAUGGUGUAGACUUAUGAAAUUGCCUGAUUUCAGGAUCAGUCGUAAAGUAUUCCCUUGGGAUAUCGACCUUUCCACACGCUACAAGAACACCUGGUUCAACAGUGUUAAAACAAUAUUGAACAAUAGUGGUCUAUCAGCCUUAAUUAACUGUACAAACAACCAUGAUACGAUCUCAACAAAAUGCGUAAUUGAAUCCGUUAAAACUAAACUGGUAGAUACUUUUAAAAGUGAAUGGAUUAUUAAUGUUCAGAACAUGCCAAAACUAAGAACAUACAAGUUACUUAAGACCGAAUUUUGUACUGAACCGUAUGUUAAAAAGUUCUUGUCCAGAAAACAGCGAUCGAGUAUAGCUAGAAUUCGAUGCGGUACACUACCUUUAGAAGUCGAACGUGGUCGAUAUCGAAAUAUUCCAGCCGACCGGAGAAUCUGUAAAGUGUGCAACUCCAAUGUGACUGAAGAUGAAAUCCACUUUUUGUUUUUGUGUAACCGUUACUCUGUUAGAAGGAACGAACUCAGACGAGAACUCAUCUCAGUUGACUUUGACUCCCCAGAAGAAACACUAAAAGAACUGUUAAUCAGCAACCCGAAAACGUUGGCAAACUUUAUCAUAGACUGUUUAAGGAUAAGACAAGAUGUUAUAUAAACAUUUUUACUUUUACAAAACUACACGUCGUAAAAACUGUAAAACUUAAUAUUUUAUAUCAAAUCAAAUGAAGCUGUCCCAAGUCAGGAGCCUCUGGCCUUUGUUAGUCUUGUAUUAUUUUAAUUUUAGUUUCUUGUGUACAAUUUGGAAAUUAGUAUGGCGUUCAUUAUCACUGGACUAGUAUAUAUUUGUUUAGGGGCCAGCUGAAGGACGCCUCCGGGUGCGGGAAUUUCUCGCUACAUUGAAGACCUGUUGGUGACCCUCUGCUGUUGUUUUUU
Molecule: long non-coding RNA, 1016 nt
Filed under: Mytilus galloprovincialis (Mediterranean mussel)
Lineage: Eukaryota; Metazoa; Mollusca; Bivalvia; Mytilida; Mytilidae
Source: RNAcentral